RNAcentral lists this long non-coding RNA (238 nucleotides) under Hordeum vulgare. RNAcentral's name for it is "long non-coding RNA (HVUL_LNC020486)". Lineage: Eukaryota; Viridiplantae; Streptophyta; Magnoliopsida; Poales; Poaceae. The record is from RNAcentral.
GUUUAUGAAUUUGUAGGAAUUUAUGGCGGUGGAAUUGCGUCAGUUGGGCCCACGAGGAGGUCACAAGCCUGCGCGCCACCACCGGGGGGGGUAGCGGCGUGGGGGCUUGUGAAUCCCUCGUGGCCCAUCUGGCCUUCUCCCAAAGCUUCGGGGGUCUCUUUUGGUCCAAAAAAAUCAUCGUAAAGUUUCAUUCCAUUUGGACUUCGUCUGAAAAUGGGCCAAAAACAAGGAAAAAACA